GUCGGGAAUAUUGCGCAAUGGAGGAAACUCUGACGCAGUGACGCCGCGUGCAGGAAGAAGGUUUUCGGAUUGUAAACUGCUUUAGACAGGGAAGAAACAAAUGACAGUACCUGUAGAAUAAGCUCCGGCUAACUACGUGCCAGCAGCCGCGGUAAUACGUAGGGAGCAAGCGUUAUCCGGAUUUAUUGGGUGUAAAGGGUGCGUAGAUGGACAAACAAGUUGGUUGUGAAAUACCUCGGCUCAACUGAGGAACUGCAACCAAAACUGUAGGUCUUGAGUACUGGAGGGGAAAGCGGAAUUCCUAGUGUAGCGGUGAAAUGCGUAGAUAUUAGGAAGAACACCGGUGGCGAAGGCGGCUUUCUGGACAGAAACUGACAUUGAGGCACGAAAGUGUGGGGAGCAAACAGGAUUAGAAACCCUAGUAGUCC
Molecule: ribosomal RNA, 428 nt
Filed under: uncultured bacterium
Lineage: Bacteria
Description: bacterial SSU rRNA
Rfam family: Bacterial small subunit ribosomal RNA
Source: RNAcentral